Perognathus longimembris pacificus (Pacific pocket mouse) is the source of this 104-nucleotide small nuclear RNA. The record is from RefSeq and is a predicted model, not a curated record. Lineage: Eukaryota; Metazoa; Chordata; Mammalia; Rodentia; Heteromyidae.
AUGCUCACCUCGGCAGCACAAAUACUAUAAUAGGAAUGAUACAGAGAUUAGCAUAGUCCUUGCACAAGGAUGACACACAAAUUCAUGAAGUGUGUCAUAUUUUU